Molecule: long non-coding RNA, 449 nt
Filed under: Capsicum annuum
Lineage: Eukaryota; Viridiplantae; Streptophyta; Magnoliopsida; Solanales; Solanaceae
Description: long non-coding RNA (CANN_LNC007610)
Source: RNAcentral
GAAAGAGUUAGUUGGUGGUGCUAAUGAGAUAAUGAGCCUUAAUAUGAGGGGUAAGAUUAAGCAAUUGCUCAUUAGGGCUAAUGCCAUUUGGGUGUAGAGUUAAUCAAUAAUGACUAGUUAUGUAUAUAGCAAUUAGUCUUAAGAGUUUUGAUAAUAAAGUUACCACUUAUAGAGAGUCCUUUUGUUUUCUCUCAUAUAAUUGUGCUUCUUGAUGUAUAAAACUUUGGUCAUUGCUGGUGUUUUCUUUUGGAAAUGUAGUAACAAUUUUUUGCUUUAUCCAAAGCUAAUGAUAUGAUGGAAGUUAAUAACAAUGAGCAUUAUUUUAAUGUAUUGCAUUUUAGUCUAUAUGAAUGUAUCAAUAAUACCAUUGUUUUAAUUUGUUUGUCCUACUAUCUUUUUUAGUUUGUUUUUAAAAAAAAUGUUUCUUCUCUCUUUUGGGUAACUAAUGU